UCAUGGUUUUCUUUUUUACAUUAGAAGGAACACGAAUGGAUGAUCCUCAUAGCAACACAGCUGUAUAGAUCACAGCAGUGACUGAAAACAUCUGCAUAAUAUAAGUAAUGUAUGCAAGAUGCAAAAGCUGAAGUUUAAUGGAAAUAGUCUUCCAGAGGGAAAAAGAAAUGGCUGACUGAUGCUGGUGAUCUAUACAGAGCAAAGUGAAUUGUCAGAAACACUAUGUAAUCAAGUUGAAGUGACUACUAAUGAACACUAAAGGUGAGGAUAGUGGCUCAUUAUUGAACAGUAUAGAAGGAGAGAAGUGUGAAAGUUCUGUGAGGCAGGAAAAUGAUGAUUCAAGAUUACAAGGCAAAAGAAAAAGGAAAAGAAGCACCUGGAGAGUCUGGAGGGUGAGAGGCACAUGUAAGAGUCUCCUGGUUCACCAGAGAGACUCUUAAGAGUGCAGGGACAUGGAAGGUCUGUGUGUGAUGUAGAAUGUACUCCCCAUUCCAUGGCCUCCCAUCCACUCCACAAAAGCCACUCCCUACAGACAGCAGCAGCAGGUGUAAAAGGAUGCUCCCCACUCAUGCCUAUCCAUUCAUUACACAAUAGGCCACUCCCUAUAGACAGAAGCAGCAGGUGACAGUCCUUCUCCAAGGCAGAACACCACAUGCAUUCAUUUCUAUCCCUACCACUGAAGGAGCCUGCUAAUUUGCCAGGCUCAUCACAACCAAUGCACCACACUCCAGGGAAGAUUAUAUCCUGAUAAGUAUCUACUGGUGUACUGGUUGACAAAAAUGGCUGAAGACUCCUUUCUGAUGGUGAUAUUACACAAGGAUAUGAAGGCUUUUUUCAUGAUGAGUAAAAGCAUGCUGCUAUCAUCAUCUGCCUGGUCUCAAGCUCAAUCCACCAGCCUGCUUCUUGUAUCAUGUGUGACUCUAUACAAAGUUUGUAAAUAAAGACUUGAAAUUA
Scylla paramamosain (green mud crab) is the source of this 954-nucleotide long non-coding RNA. RefSeq lists it as uncharacterized. The transcript has 2 exons. The record is from RefSeq and is a predicted model, not a curated record. Lineage: Eukaryota; Metazoa; Arthropoda; Malacostraca; Decapoda; Portunidae.